GAUCAUGGCUCAGAUUGAGCGCUGGCGGCAGGCUUAACACAUGCAAGUCGAACGGUAACAUAAAGAAGCUUGCUUCCUUGAUGACGAGUGGCGGACGGGUGAGUAAUGCUUGGGAAUCUAGCUUAUGGAGGGGGAUAACUACGGGAAACUGUAGCUAAUACCGCGUAAUAUCGAAAGAUUAAAGUGUGGGACCUUCGGGCCACAUGCCAUAGGAUGAGCCCAAGUGGGAUUAGGUAGUUGGG
RNAcentral lists this ribosomal RNA (242 nucleotides) under uncultured bacterium. Its description in RNAcentral is "partial 16S ribosomal RNA". It matches the Rfam family "Bacterial small subunit ribosomal RNA", at positions 15 to 253 of the family's 1533-position model. The record is from RNAcentral.